Subdoligranulum variabile DSM 15176 is the source of this 85-nucleotide regulatory RNA element. It matches the Rfam family "S10-Clostridia ribosomal protein leader". Lineage: Bacteria; Bacillati; Bacillota; Clostridia; Eubacteriales; Oscillospiraceae. The record is from Rfam.
GAUAUGCGUUGAUGCGGGAGGUUGCCGUCCGCCGAUAGGCAGACGGGUUUUUCCGCGGAGUAUGUCCGAUCUUAGAACCGGGCGA